GUGCUCCUGGGAUCUGGGGCCCCCCCUCCCCUGGGAGCAAGGGGAUGUGGGAAGCUAAUCCUGGACGGGACCUACUGUGCCCAGGAGCUCGAGCAUCUUCGGUCCUUGCCACAACUUGCAAGGUGAGGCAGGGUCGUCGUAGGUGUACCCAGAAUGGUCACCGGGGGAAAACAGGAGCAGAGGAACCAGGACCAGAUCUGGAGGCAUCUGCAAGGUGCCUGGGCACCAGCUGGGAGCCAGAGGAAGGCAGAAAGAGGGGCAAAGACGUCGCGGG
This 274-nucleotide long non-coding RNA is filed under the name Fukomys damarensis (Damara mole-rat). RNAcentral describes it as "lncRNA (ENSFDAG00000024226.1)". The record is from RNAcentral. Lineage: Eukaryota; Metazoa; Chordata; Mammalia; Rodentia; Bathyergidae.